This 42-nucleotide non-coding RNA is filed under the name Schistosoma mattheei. The record is from RNAcentral. Lineage: Eukaryota; Metazoa; Platyhelminthes; Trematoda; Strigeidida; Schistosomatidae.
AUCCAGCUGAGUCCCAAAUAGGACGAGACGCGCGUCCUGGAU